RNAcentral lists this long non-coding RNA (3148 nucleotides) under Ricinus communis (castor bean). RNAcentral describes it as "long non-coding RNA (RCOM_LNC002079)". Lineage: Eukaryota; Viridiplantae; Streptophyta; Magnoliopsida; Malpighiales; Euphorbiaceae. The record is from RNAcentral.
CUCAGUAAAUAAAUAAUCAACAUAAUCUAUAUCACAUACACUUAAUACAAUUUCCACCCAAUCACAUAACUUUCCAUGAUAUUCAUAGUUUAGGUAUAAAGUCAUACCAUUCUACUCAAUUCAUUACAACCAUCAUAGAAGAAAUACAAUUCAACAAUUAUGGUUAGUUCUCACGGCUUGUGGAUCCCCUUUAAUGUGCUGCUCCGCCUCAUCCUCACAUAUCACACACGUAAAUUCAUAGUGCCCAUACCUUGUUCUGAAUGCUGUCUUGGCAAUAGAUUUCUCUUCAACCCGGAGUUGCCAAUAAUCUGAUCUUAAAUCAAUUUUAGAGAACACAGUUGCACCUUUUAACUGAUCAAGCAAAUCAUCAAUUCUCGGCAAUGGAUAUUUAUUCUUCACUGUAAUCCUAUUCAAUUGCCUAUAAUCAAUACAUAAUCACAUACUACCAUCCUUUUUCUUCACAAACAGAACCGGUGAUCCCCAAGGUGAAGUACUUGGCCUGAUGAAACCUUUAUCAAGUAACUCUUCUAAUUGCUUCUUUAAUUCUUUCAAUUCUAAUGGAGCCAUUUUGUAUGGUGCAAUGGAAAUAGGUGCCGUGCCAGGGAUGAUGUCAAUCUCAAAAUCAACCUCUCGAUUUGGUGGCAAACCAGGCAAAUCAUCUAAGAAUACGUUAGGAAAUUCUCUGACCACUGGAAUGUCUAAUACCCCUGGUCUGACCUUAGUAGUAUCUACAAAACUAAUUAGAUAUGCUUCACAUCCAUUUUUAACUAACUGACAUGCAGUCACUGCUGAAAUCAAACAAUUAGGAAUUGUCUUCCUUUCACCCACCAUUACUAUUUUCAUUUCUCCUUGUAUUUCCAUAGCCACUUCCUUCGUUUUACAAUCAACAAUAGCAUGAUUUCUUGACAACCAAUCCAUCCCCAAAAUAACAUCAAACUCUCUAAGAUUAAUAACAACCAGAUCUACAUGUAGUUUGACACUAUCUACUACUACAGGACAUGAUCUCACUAUCGUAUUUACUAUGAUAAUACCCCCAGCAGGCAUAGAUACAUAUAUAUCAUAAUCUAAUGCCUCUAUAUUAGCAUGAACAUGCGAUGUAAAAUCAUGUGAUAUGAAUGAACAUGUGGAUCCAGGAUCAAUAAGAACAUGUGCAUCAGAAUCAUGAAUAGAAAGUAUACCAGUAAUAAUUUCAGGUGCUACAAAUGCUUCAUUUCUAGUAGUAGCAAAUACUCUAGCUUGUGCUUGUGGUUGACCAAUCUUUUCUUAUGGUGUUUCUGAAAUAGGUAAACCUCCUCUACCACCUCUUCCUCUGCCUCUGCCUGAACCAACUGGAAUAUUUUCACCAACACUACUCUGACCCAUUGUAUAAGAUUCUCCAGCAUUAUUUCUUCUCAUAGGACAAUCUCUAGAAUAAUGUCCUGGCCUACUACAAGUGAAACAUACUACUGGUCUAGGUCCCCAACAUUCUCCAGUAUGUCUCCUGUUGCACGUAGGACAAACAGGAGCAAACCCUCUACUGGCCGAAACUUAUCCUCCCUCAAGUCUGGAUGAAUUGUAUCCACCUCUGCUAUAAGGUACUGUGGAGGAUCUACUAGACUGACCACCAAACCCUCAUCCACGAUAACUACUCCUCUGUGAAUUAGAGCCUCUGAACGAAGAAAUACUAGUCUAUCUUGGAGGAUUACUAUAAGUACCAAUGAUCUUCUUCUUUUUAGCUUCCAUAGUAUUCCUUUCAAAUGAUGUUUCUUCAGCUCUCAAAGCAGCUUCAAUUGAGGCAAUGUAAUUCUGAGGUUUCACUACCAUUUUCUCAUGAAUGUCAAGCCUCAAACCCAUCUCAAAUUUCUUCCUUUUUAGUUCUUCAGUGGCUAUUUCUUAUGGUGCAUACUUAGAUAAUCUCACAAAUUGAACUUCAUACUCUGCAACUGACAUAUCAUUCUGCUUCAACUGAAGAAAUUCAAGCUUUUUUCUGUCUCUAUAAAUUUUUGAAGUAUACUUCUCAGCAAAUUCUCUCAAGAAAUCAUUCCAAGUCAAAGUCAUUGGUCGAUCUUUGCUUCUUAAAACUGUUUCCCACCAAUCAAGUGCAUCUUUUUCUAUUAAAGACACUGCAUAUAGAAGCCUUUGUUCAGAUGUGCAAUUAAAUCUGUCCAACACUCUUUCCGUAUUUCGUAACCAUUCCUCAGCCUCAGCAGGAUCAGUAGUACCCUGAAAAACAUUAGCACCUUGUUUCCUAACCCUUUCAUAAUUUUUAUCUAUCACAGCCUCUUGUUGUUGAGUCUGAGGCGUCGGUGCUUGUUGUCGAGCUACCCGUUGCAUUAGAAAAUCCAUAAACUGUUCCAUAACAUUUUGUACAUUCGAUUGUGCAGCAUUUUCAGAAUGUAGCUCAUGCUCAUCAUAUUGAUCAUGUUCAGAUGCAUUUUCAUGACCAUGCACAGACUCUAAUGACUUAUUUGGGCCAGUUGCGUGUUCUCCUUGUCUCUCCAUCUAUAUAUAUGAAAUGCAAAUACUCAGCCAAGUUCAAAGAACAUAUUUCAUAUGCUUAAUGAUGUGCAACAUGAAUCUAAUCCCUACUCUGAUACUACUAAAUGUAACACCCCCAUUACAUGCUAACCAAUAGACAUUAGCCAGAAAACAUACAAGCGUCGUAGACUAUAUACUACAUGUAGAUAGGUCAAUGCAGAUUGUUAAGAAUCAAGACACAAGGUUAUUAACAUAUAAACAUAUGAUUAUACUUAAACAUCAUUUAACAAGUAUUCAAAACAUCUUCUUAUGCCUUACAAGGCACACUUCUAUAUACAUCACAUAACUGCAUACAAAAUGCAUCAGGAGGAGACUCCACAAAACUGGCCCAACCUGACAGAACUGCUAAAAGCUAGACUUCGGAUACAACCAACGGAUGCACUACUAUUUACAAACCUGAAAAGAAAAAUUUUGGAGAGGGGUGAGCCUCCAGCUCAGUAAAUAAAUAAUCAACAUAAUCUAUAUCACAUACACUUAAUACAAUUUCCACCCAAUCACAUAACUUACCAUGAUUCAUAGUUUAGGUAUAAAUUCAUACCAUUCUACUCAAUUCAGUACAACCAUCAUAGAAGAAAUACAAUUCAACAAUUAUGGUUAGUUCUCACGACUUGUGGAUCCCCUUUAAUGUGCU